Molecule: unclassified non-coding RNA, 333 nt
Filed under: Hevea brasiliensis (rubber tree)
Lineage: Eukaryota; Viridiplantae; Streptophyta; Magnoliopsida; Malpighiales; Euphorbiaceae
Source: RNAcentral
GAUUGGGCAAAUAACUGCCCUUAAACAGGCGGCUAGAUGCAUUCAGCUUAAGCAGGUGGAUGAAUGCCUUUAGGUUGGGCAAAUGACUGCACUUAGGCAGGUGGUUAUACGCCUUGCUAUAUUGUGAUAAUAAAUCAGCUCUUUAGAUUCCUGCCAAUCCUACUUUUCAGAAGAGAACCAAACACACAGAUAUUGACUGCCAUUUUGUCUAUGAGAAGCUUCAUGUUAGUCUUAUGAAGCUGCUGCCAUCUUGUUAUUUACGUAUAUAAACAGAGCUUCUGCUCAUUCAUUCAAUCUAUCAAUAAAAUUUCCUUUUUUCCCAAAAUCUCUUCA